AACGAACGCUGGCGGCAGGCCUAACACAUGCAAGUCGAGCGAAGCCUUCGGGUUUAGCGGCGGACGGGUGAGUAACGCGUGGGAAUAUGCCCUUUGGUACGGAACAGUCCCGGGAAACUGGGUUUAAUACCGUAUGUGGUCCUUCGUAGUGGAUACGGGGGACGAAAGAUUUAUCGCCAAAGGAUUAGCCCGCGUUGGAUUAGGUAGUUGGUGGGUAACGGCCUACCAAGCCGACGACCCAUAGCUGGUUUGAGAGGAUGAUCAGCCACACUGGGACUGAGACACGGCCCAGACUCCUACGGGAGGCAGCAGUGGGGAAUCUUAGACAAUGGGGGCAACCCUGAUCUAGCCAUGCCGCGUGAGUGAUGAAGGCCUUAGGGUUGUAAAGCUCUUUCAGCUGGGAAGAUAAUGACGGUACCAGCAGAAGAAGCCCCGGCUAACUCCGUG
This 447-nucleotide ribosomal RNA is filed under the name uncultured bacterium. Its description in RNAcentral is "bacterial SSU rRNA". It matches the Rfam family "Bacterial small subunit ribosomal RNA", at positions 29 to 507 of the family's 1533-position model. The record is from RNAcentral.